UUCGGAUUGACAGCUCGAGCCCGCCUGUCCUUUCCCCGCAGUCACGAUGACAUGACCCCGCCUUCCUAGCUGGCCCGUAAGGAGACGACCGUGACUGCAACAGACAAGAAUGGGGAUCAGUGCCUUUGUCUAUAUUGGAAGAUGGCGACGGGCAGGGUGUGAGAAAAUGGCCGCCUGAGUCACAUGUCUUGCCGAGUAUCCCUCACCUGAAAGAGGGGAAGAGAAGGAGAAAGAGGAAGAGAAACAUCAACAUGUGGUUGCCUCUCAUGUGUCCUCUACUGAGGGCCUGACCUGGCCCGCGACCCCAGCAUGUUCCCCAACUGGGAAUUGAACCUGUGACCAUUUGGUUCACAGGUCAGCACUGAAUCCACUGAGCAACACCAGCCAGGGCUUCUGUGUUUUCACAUAUUUGAUGAAUAGCUAUUACUUUAGGGAGGUUUUUUCUAUUCUUUAAAUUCUGUUUCAACUCUUACUUCCCAUUUUUAUUUCCCUCAUGUUUUUACACAAACGGUGAGAUACUAAACAUACUGUUAUACAUGUUGCUUUUUUCACUUAAUAAUACUUCUUGGAGAUCUUUUCAUAUCAGAGCAUUAGAGAGCUGCCAGUACAUAUAGAAAGUCAUUGUAUGAAAGCGGGUGGAGUACUUCCUCAAAAUGUUAUAUUAUGUGGAUGUACAAUAUUUUAUUUAAUCACUGCAGUCCCCUGUUGAUGACUGCUUGGGUGCAUUAGACAUUUCAUACACACAUAUUUCUGUAGGGUACCUUUGGCGGAUAUUGCCAAAAAUUUCCUAACGUUGGCGUACCAUUUUGCACUCACCAUCCAUGGAUGAGGUUAUUUGUUUCACCAAAGCCUCACCAACGAAGUGUAUUCUUAAAGACUUCUUCUAUUUUUCUGUCAGGUUGUUGGCCUUUCUUUGAUUUCUAGAAUCUUGUUAUAUAAUUACAAUGCUUACUACCAGCAAUAUGAAUGUUAAACUGUGAAUGAUAUCCCUUCUCAGUAUUUUCUCCCAGUUUGUCAUUCUUUUUCUUUGCUAAUGAAUUUUUCCAAGCAAAUUAUAUUUUUAUAUAAAAAACUAUCUGUGUUUUCUUUUAUGAAUUCUAGAUUUUGAGGAGAUAGUUUUGCAAUGCAUUGCAUUAAUGACCCCAAUUUGUCAUGUGUUUCUGUAUCCACACCCUUUGGUAUUUCUCUCCCAUGCUAACUCUGAGUUUGACCAUAUAACUUGCUUUAACAAACAAGAUAAUAUCAAACUUGAUAUACUUGAAAAAGCUCUUGCAUAUUCUGCUUCCUCUCUUGGAACCCUGCUACUGCUAUGAGAACAUAUGCAGGCUAGCCUGCUGGAGGGAUGUGAGACACACGUAUGAAUGAGCCUGGUCCUUCCAGCCAAGGCAUCUUAUAGCAGCCAGUCUCCAGCCAAGCCACCAGCUCAGGAUAUAGCCCACUUGAGAUCAGCAGAGCCAGAUCCAUAUUGUAGAACCUCCCAAGUGGCCCAUGGACUUGUAAGUUUUGGUACAUAAAUGUUCAUUUUGGUUUUUUAUACAGCAUAUUGUGGCAAUAGUCUUCCAUCACUGUUCUUCCUUUUCAGAGAUAUCCUGGCUGUGCUUGCUUGUUAUUUUUCCACUCAAAAUUGAAUUCAGCUUGUCUAGUUUCAAGAGAAAAUUAUAUUUUAAAGACCUUAUAUUAAACAUGAAUUAUUUUGAUAUCUUCAUAACUUUGAGUCUUCCUAUUGAAGAAUGUGGGAUGCCUAUCCAUUUGUUCCUCCCAAGUUUUAUAAAAGUUUUCUCAUAAAGAUUUUGGACAUUUCGCCCUGGCUGAUGUGGCUCAGUGGAUUGAGUGCUGGCCUGCAAACCGAAGGGUCACUGGUUCAAUUCCCAGUCAGGGCACAUGUCUGGGUUGCAGGCCAGGUCCCCAAUAGGGGACAGUCAAGAGGCAACCAUAUAUUGAUGUUUCUGUCCCUCUCUGUCUCCCUCCAUUCCCCUCUCUAAAAAUAAAUAAAUAAAAUCUUUUUAGAAAGAUUUUGGAGAUUUCUUUUCAAGAUUUUUCUAAGUAUUUGCUAUACACUGAAUGUUUGUAAAGUCCCAAAAUUUAUAUUUUGAAACCUAAUCCCCAAUGUGAUGGUAAUAAGAGGUGGGACCUUUGUAAGAUUAUUAGGUCAUGAGGGUGGGGCCCUCAUGAAUGGGAUUAGUACCCUUAGAAAAGAUGCCCCUGAGAGCUCUCUUGCCCUUCCACCAUGUGAGGAUACAGCUAGAAGAAGGCAGUCUGUGAAUCACGCACGAAACAGACCCUCAGCAGACAUUGAUUCUGCCUAUGCCUUGAUCUUGGACUUCCCACCCUCUAAAACUCUGAGAAAUAUCUGUUGUUUAUAAAGCACUGUCUGUGGUUCUCUGUUACAGCAGCCCCAGUGGACUAAGAUAGUAUUUUAUCUUAUUUGUUACUCUAAUAAAUGAAGCUUUCUCUUCCAUGAGUUCUAUAUAUUAAU
This is a long non-coding RNA of Artibeus jamaicensis (Jamaican fruit-eating bat), 2476 nucleotides long. RefSeq lists it as uncharacterized. NCBI's taxonomy places the organism in Eukaryota, Metazoa, Chordata, Mammalia, Chiroptera, Phyllostomidae. The record is from RefSeq and is a predicted model, not a curated record. The transcript has 3 exons.